This 424-nucleotide ribosomal RNA is filed under the name uncultured bacterium. Its description in RNAcentral is "bacterial SSU rRNA". It matches the Rfam family "Bacterial small subunit ribosomal RNA", at positions 355 to 796 of the family's 1533-position model. The record is from RNAcentral.
UGGGGAAUCUUGCACAAUGGAGGCAACUCUGAUGCAGCGACGCCGCGUGAGCGAUGAAGCCCUUCGGGGUGUAAAGCUCUUUCGACGGGAACGAUAAUGACGGUACCCGGAGAAGAAGCUGCGGCUAACUACGUGCCAGCAGCCGCGGUAAUACGUAGGCAGCAAGCGUUGUUCGGAAUUACUGGGCGUAAAGAGUGUGUAGGCGGUGCUCUAAGUUCGGUGUGAAAUCUCCUGGCUUAACUGGGAGGGUGCGCCGAAAACUGGAGUGCUCGAGCGCGGGAGAGGAAAGCGGAAUUCCUGGUGUAGCGGUGAAAUGCGUAGAUAUCAGGAGGAACACCUGUGGUGUAGACAGCUUUCUGGACCGUAGCUGACGCUGAGACACGAAAGCGUGGGUAGCAAACAGGAUUAGAUACCCCCGUAGUCC